Molecule: ribosomal RNA, 389 nt
Filed under: uncultured bacterium
Lineage: Bacteria
Description: bacterial SSU rRNA
Rfam family: Bacterial small subunit ribosomal RNA
Source: RNAcentral
CGAUGACCCUGGCGGCAUGCCUUACACAUGCAAGUCGAACGGCAGCACGGAGCUCGCUCUGGUGGCGAGUGGCGAACGGGUGAGUAAUAUAUCGGAACGUACCCUAGAGUGGGGGAUAACGUAACGAAAGUUACGCUAAUACCGCAUACGAUCUAAGGAUGAAAGUGGGGGAUCGCAAGACCUCAUGCUCGUGGAGCGGCCGGUAUCUGAUUAGCUAGUUGGUAGGGUAAAAGCCUACCAAGGCAUCGAUCAGUAGCUGGUCUGAGAGGACGACCAGCCACACUGGAACUGAGACACGGUCCAGACUCCUACGGGGGGCAGCAGUGGGGAAUUUUGGACAAUGGGCGAAAGCCUGAUCCAGCAAUGCCGCGUGAGUGAAGAAGGCCUUC